RNAcentral lists this ribosomal RNA (468 nucleotides) under uncultured bacterium. RNAcentral describes it as "partial 16S ribosomal RNA". It matches the Rfam family "Bacterial small subunit ribosomal RNA", at positions 28 to 507 of the family's 1533-position model. The record is from RNAcentral.
GACGAACGCUGGCGGCGUGCUUAAUACAUGCAAGUCGAACGGAAAGGCCCUGCUUUUGUGGGUUGCUCGUGUGGCGAACGGGUGAGUAACACGUGAGUAACCUGCCCUUGUCUUUGGGAUAACUUCAGGAAACUGGGGCUAAUAUCGGAUAGGAUCUCCUGCUGCAUGGUGGGGGUUGGAAAGUUUCGGCGGUUGGGGAUGGAUUCGCUGCUUAUCAGCUUGUUGGUGGGGUAGUGGCAUACCAAGGCUUUGACGGGUAGCCGGCCUGAGAGGGUGACCGGCCACAUUGGGACUGAGAUACGGCCCAGACUCCUACGGGAGGCAGCAGUGGGGAAUAUUGCACAAUGGGCGGAAGCCUGAUGCAGCAACGCCGCGUGCGGGAUAACGGCCUUCGGGUUGUAAACCGAUUUCGCCUGUGACGAAGCCGGAGUGACGGUAAUGGGUAAAGAAGCACCGGCUAACUACGUG